AGAGUCGAUCGGACAGUCGCUGUUCCAUAUUGUUCCGCAAUAUGGGAGGGAGGAAAGUCCGGGCUCCAUAGGGCGGAGUGCCAGGUAACGCCUGGGGGGCGUGAGCCUACGGAAAGUGCCACAGAAAAUAACCGCCUAAGCGCUUCGGCGCCGGUAAGGGUGAAAAGGUGCGGUAAGAGCGCACCGCACGGCUGGCAACAGUCCGUGGCUAGGUAAACCCCACUCGGAGCAAGACCAAAUAG
Molecule: RNase P RNA, 242 nt
Filed under: Pseudomonas kuykendallii
Lineage: Bacteria; Pseudomonadati; Pseudomonadota; Gammaproteobacteria; Pseudomonadales; Pseudomonadaceae
Description: partial RNase P RNA component class A
Rfam family: Bacterial RNase P class A
About the family: Ribonuclease P (RNase P) is a ubiquitous endoribonuclease, found in archaea, bacteria and eukarya as well as chloroplasts and mitochondria. Its best characterised activity is the generation of mature 5'-ends of tRNAs by cleaving the 5'-leader elements of precursor-tRNAs.
Source: RNAcentral